ACGAACGCUGGCGGCGUGCCUCAUGCAUGCAAGUAGAACGCUGAAGAGAGGAGCUUGCUCUUCUUGGAUGAGUUGCGAACGGGUGAGUAACGCGUAGGUAACCUGCCUUGUAGCGGGGGAUAACUAUUGGAAACGAUAGCUAAUACCGCAUAACAAUGGAUGACACAUGUCAUUUAUUUGAAAGGGGCAAUUGUUCCACUACAAGAUGGACCUGCGUUGUAUUAGCUAGUAGGUGAGGUAAUGGCUCACCUAGGCGACGAUACAUAGCCGACCUGAGAGGGUGAUCGGCCACACUGGGACUGAGACACGGCCCAGACUCCUACGGGAGGCAGCAGUAGGGAAUCUUCGGCAAUGGGGGCAACCCUGACCGAGCAACGCCGCGUGAGUGAAGAAGGUUUUCGGAUCGUAAAGCUCUGUUGUAAGUCAAGAACGGGUGUGAGAGUGGAAAGUUCACACUGUGACGGUAGCUUACCAGAAAGGGACGGCUAACUACGUG
Molecule: ribosomal RNA, 496 nt
Filed under: uncultured bacterium
Lineage: Bacteria
Description: partial 16S ribosomal RNA
Rfam family: Bacterial small subunit ribosomal RNA
Source: RNAcentral